This 71-nucleotide transfer RNA is filed under the name Ictidomys tridecemlineatus (thirteen-lined ground squirrel). Its description in RNAcentral is "Spermophilus tridecemlineatus (thirteen-lined ground squirrel) tRNA". It matches the Rfam family "tRNA". From Rfam's summary of the family: Transfer RNA (tRNA) molecules are approximately 80 nucleotides in length. Their secondary structure includes four short double-helical elements and three loops (D, anti-codon, and T loops). Lineage: Eukaryota; Metazoa; Chordata; Mammalia; Rodentia; Sciuridae. The record is from Rfam by way of RNAcentral.
GGUGUUGUGGCUCAGUGGGAGAGCACUUGCUUAGCAAGAGCAAGGCCCUGGUUCAAUCCCAAGCAACACAC